RNAcentral lists this ribosomal RNA (333 nucleotides) under uncultured Ruminococcus sp. RNAcentral's name for it is "bacterial SSU rRNA". It matches the Rfam family "Bacterial small subunit ribosomal RNA", at positions 8 to 339 of the family's 1533-position model. Lineage: Bacteria; Bacillati; Bacillota; Clostridia; Eubacteriales; Oscillospiraceae. The record is from RNAcentral.
AGAGUUUGAUCAGUGGCUCAGGACGAACGCUGGCGGCAUGCCUAACACAUGCAAGUCGAACGGAGUUGAGGAGCUUGCUCUUCAACUUAGUGGCGGACGGGUGAGUAACGCGUGAGCAACCUGCCUUUAAGUGGGGAAUAAUGUACUGAAAAGGACACUAAUACCGCAUAAUGUAUAUAGGCCGCAUGACCUGUAUACCAAAGAUUUAUCGCUUAAAGAUGGGCUCGCGUCCGAUUAGCCAGUUGGUGGGGUAACGGCCUACCAAAGCGACGAUCGGUAGCCGGACUGAGAGGUUGAACGGCCACAUUGGGACUGAGACACGGCCCAGACUCC